This 253-nucleotide ribosomal RNA is filed under the name uncultured bacterium. Its description in RNAcentral is "partial 16S ribosomal RNA". It matches the Rfam family "Bacterial small subunit ribosomal RNA", at positions 524 to 776 of the family's 1533-position model. The record is from RNAcentral.
UACGUAGGGUGCAAGCGUUGUCCGGAAUUAUUGGGCGUAAAGAGCUCGUAGGCGGUCUGUCGCGUCUGCUGUGAAAACUCGGGGCUUAACCCCGGGCCUGCAGUGGGUACGGGCAGACUAGAGUGUGGUAGGGGAGAUCGGAAUUCCUGGUGUAGCGGUGAAAUGCGCAGAUAUCAGGAGGAACACCGGUGGCGAAGGCGGAUCUCUGGGCCAUUACUGACGCUGAGGAGCGAAAGCGUGGGGAGCGAACAGG